CUCUUUUCGUGGCUCACGGUGUGAUAAUUGGUAUUUCAUACCAUCGAGGGGCGUGUCUCUGUCCAGCCUUGUUAUGAUGUCAGUACAUUCCCCAUCUGGCA
Molecule: small nucleolar RNA, 101 nt
Organism: Sciurus carolinensis (gray squirrel)
Lineage: Eukaryota; Metazoa; Chordata; Mammalia; Rodentia; Sciuridae
Product: small nucleolar RNA U13
Exons: 1
Source: RefSeq, a predicted model, not a curated record